Molecule: ribosomal RNA, 253 nt
Filed under: uncultured bacterium
Lineage: Bacteria
Description: partial 16S ribosomal RNA
Rfam family: Bacterial small subunit ribosomal RNA
Source: RNAcentral
UACGUAGGGUGCGAGCGUUAAUCGGAAUUACUGGGCAUAAAGCGUGCGCAGGCGGCUUUGCAAGACAGAUGUGAAAUCCCCGGGCUCAACCUGGGAACUGCAUUUGUGACUGCAAGGCUAGAGUACGGCAGAGGGGGAUGGAAUUCCGCGUGUAGCAGUGAAAUGCGUAGAUAUGCGGAGGAACACCAAUGGCGAAGGCAAUCCCCUGGGCCUGUACUGACGCUCAUGCACGAAAGCGUGGGGAGCAAACAGG